RNAcentral lists this ribosomal RNA (497 nucleotides) under uncultured bacterium. RNAcentral's name for it is "bacterial SSU rRNA". It matches the Rfam family "Bacterial small subunit ribosomal RNA", at positions 28 to 517 of the family's 1533-position model. The record is from RNAcentral.
GAUGAACGCUAGCGGCAGGCUUAACACAUGCAAGUCGAGGGGCAUCGCGGGUAGCAAUACCUGGCGGCGACCGGCGAAAGGGUGAGUAACGCGUGAGCAACAUGCCCGAUACUGGGGGAUAGUCGAUGGAAACGUCGCGUAAUACCCCGUAACACACGGGACCGCAUGGUUCUUUGUUGAAAGAUUGAUUGGUAUCGGAUUGGCUCGCGUGCCAUUAGCUAGAUGGCGGGGUAACGGCCCACCAUGGCGACGAUGGCUAGGGGUUCUGAGAGGAAGGUCCCCCACAUUGGAACUGAGACACGGUCCAGACUCCUACGGGAGGCAGCAGUGAGGAAUAUUGGGACAUGGCCGGAAGGCUGAUCCAGCCAUGCCGCGUGCGGGAAGACGGGCCCUAUGGGUUGUAACCGCUUUUGGCGGGGGAGCAAUAAGGUCCACGUGUGGACUGAUGANAGUACCCUGCGAAAUANNCAUCGGGCUAACUCCGUGGCCAGCAAGCG